AGGCCAGGCAUUGAACCUGAAACCUCGUGGUUCCUAGUUGGAUUGUUUCCGCUGUGCCACAACGGGAACUCCCUGUUCUUUUUAUUUUUUAUUGUGAUUUAAAUUGAUUAAAAAAAAUACCAGCCUCAUCCUGGGCCUGUAUCAGUCUGCACAUUGGAUUUUGGGAAACACUGGUGUUUGUAUGCCUGGGACUUGUGACCCAAACACCCCUGGAGGAGUAGAAGAGAGAGAAGUUACAAUAUAUACUACCCAAAUUAUUCAUUUUAUGAGUUAUUAAAGGGAAGGAGUUGGAAGAUAUCCAAAACGCUGGUAGCUGUCUAGUUGAGGUGAAAUUGUGUGGUGCCUUGAUGAUCAGAGCAUCAAAGGAAGAUGUUUGUUCAUGUGUGUGGCCCUACUUUUGGCCUUAUGCAGCUCUUCCAAGUGACUCUAGGAAGACCGUGAAUUCCUUGGUUAUUUGAAAUUUUGUUUUUCCACUCUUGCCAUUUUGAAAUUGUUUUUGUGUGACUGUUAGUUAUACAGUCUUUGAUGUUCAAACAUUGGUUUUCUGAGGCUGGGUAGAGAGUAAGGGAGAAAGGUAUGAGUUUUAAAAUUAUUUUAGGAGUUUCCUGGUGGCUCAGUGGGUUAAGGAUCUGACAGUGGUCAUUGCUGUGGCUCGAGUUGCUGGUGUGGUGCGGGUUUGAUCCUUGGCCUUGGAACUUUUAUAUGCUGUAGGCACAGCCAAAAAAAAAAAAAAAAAUUAUUUUAGAUUUUCAGAUACAGCCUAAAAAUUUUUAAUUUCAUUUGAAUUAAAUUCUAGGUCUAGUUUAAAUUUAAAGAAUAUAGAUAAGUGCUUCCUGUGGUUUAAUACUGGUUUUUGAGGUAAAUAUGACAAAUUUUUUUUUUUUUCUUUUUAGGGCCACACUCACGGCAUAUGGAGAGUCCCAGGCUAGGGUUCCAAUCGGAGCUACAGCUGCCAGCCUAUACCACAGCUCCCGACAAAGCCAGAUCCUUAACCCACUGAGUGAGGCCAGGGAUCAAACCCGCAACCUUAUGGUUCCUAGUUGUAUUCUUUUCCACUGCACCGUAUUGGGAACUCUGACAAAUACUUUUAAACACUGAGUUACUAAAAGACUCUUGGGAACGGAGUGUUACAGACCCUUGAUAAAAACAGUUCUGAAAUUUUAUGGGGGCACAGUCAUUGCUUAAGAAUUUCUUCUCUGAAAACAUACAAGUUAAACUACUUAAUUGUGAUAGCACAUGGGCAUAUUUCUAGAGAAAUUAGGUAUUUUGAUAGAAAAUAACAAUUUUAUGAAUAGGAAUUCAUUUAUUAACUUAUUUUUUUCCAUACAUAUUUAUUGGAGAUUCUGAUUUGUGCUAAAUAUUGUUUGAAAAAAUUGGGGGUCCAGCCAGGACUUAAACACCCUGCCCUUAUAGAGAUUAUCUUCUAGUGAGCAAGACAGUCGUAUGUAAGUAAAAAAAAAAAAUAGCUGUGCCAUGAAAUAAAAAGAUGCUAUGGGAAAGACAAAUGGUGAUGGCAGCUGGGAAGGGGGAAGGGCUGCUUUGAUUAGAACGGCUAGAGCUGGUUGCCUUCCUCAGGUGACAAUUUAGACUAGUCCAGAAAGAUGGGAAGGAGGCUGUAAGAGGCACAGAAGACUAUGGCCAUCAAGUAGCAAAGAACGUGGUGCAUCCUUGGAAGUGUCAGAAAGUCAACUUGGGUGGAGCCUAUGGCCUAAGGGAUGAGGGACACCAGGCUCUUUUAAUAGGGCCCUAGUAAAUGCUGAAUAAAUGAAUGAGUGUAAGACUUUUUCUGAUUAAAUCCUUAUUGCAAACUGAAAGAGGGUGAUCAUGAUUGAGAGAUGGGUAUGGCUAGGGAUAAUGGUCAGCUGAUCAACUCAGACUCUAGAGCAGGAUCUCCAUUGGGUACCUAGGUUUUAGAUUCCACGUUAUGGGCCCAGAUGUUUGGUUUCAUCAGCACAUCAACAGUAGACCAGCCCUCUAAGGAGGAACGUAUUCCCAACAAACGCACUGAUGUGUAGUUCUGAAUGCUGAUCAGUUCACCUGGGGUUUCCUUUUCUCAUGAUGAACAUACCAUAUUAACAUGUGCUGUAUGAGGCAGCUCCUUUUCCAGCAUCAGGGCACUGGGAAAACGAGUUUUUAAUCAGAAGCCUACUCUGUAAAUUUAGAAUGGGCUCAAGAAGGUCUUGAGGAAUAAUCUGUAUGGGUUCAGCUGAGGCUUGAUGAUGUCUUUGCUUGACAAUGAACACUUUGGAGGAGGAAGUGGAUUUGUAUGUACCUUUAAAGGUCACUGGUUUGUUUCCUCUAGGCUUCCUUUCUCAUCUUUUUUUGAUACAAUGUUUCUUUUUUAUUUUGAUAUAGAAAUUUUUUUGUCUAUCAGUUUUUUCAUAUAUCAGUUUUUACUACUAAUAAUAUAACAGUUGAAUAUAUUGUAGAAAAUAACUACUGUACAGAGAACAUUACUGUUAAUAUAUCGAUACCUACCCUUUUUCCUUUGUAUUUAUAUAUGUAGCAGGCUGCUCAGUGAGGCAGACUUUAAAAUGUACUUUUCUUGUCAUAAAUAUUUAAAGUUGGUAGCAGAUUGUGUCAGAGGUGACAGCACAUCAUCUUUGAACCAGACUUGUGCACCCAGAGUGUCUCUUUGGUUAUACAGUUAUAGUGUAAAUAUUCUUGUAUUUUUUAAUAAUGUAGAUAAAACAGCAAGAAUGCAAAUAAGUCAAAUGGAGAUGUGAAGUAAUCUGUUUAAUAAUGUAAAUGGUUCUUAUUGAGGGAGAGUACACCUUAGCUGAAAUUUAUUUAAAUUUUUUUAUAGAAAGUUUAAAUUGUAUGUACAUAUUAAGCAAUGAAUAUAAUGAACCCCCAUAGAUUUUGAUCCAGCUGGGACAGUUCACUCCUGAGUCAUUUCACUCUGGAGUCAUCUGUAUACCUGUCUGGUCUCUUCCUUCACAGAUAAUUCUGCAGAAGUCCCCAAACAGCAUGGCAUUUCUUUUGUAAAUACUUCAGUAUAUAUCUAUAAGGACUCAAAAAAUUAAACCAGUAACCAUGAUAUGAUUACUAUACCUAAUUUUUUUUUUUUUUUUGUCUUUUUAAGGCCACACCCUCAGUGUUUGGAAGUUCCCAGGCUAGGGGCUGAGCCAGAGCUGCAGCUGCCGGCCUACGCCACAGCCACAGCAAUGAGGGAUCCAAGCUGCAUCUGUGACCUACACUGCAGCUUGUGGCAAUUCCGGAUCCAUAACCCACUGAGUGAGGCCAGGGAUUGAACCCACAUCCUCAUGGAUACUAGUCAGGUUCUUAACCUGUUGAGCCACAGGUUAAGAUUAAUUUUUUUUUAAAUAAUUUUUUUACUACUAGUGGCUGUGCCCGUGGCAUAUGGAAGUUCCCAGGCCAGGGAUCAAAUCUGAGCUGAAUCUGUGACCUACGCCACAGCUGCAGCAACACUGUAUCCUUAACCCAUGGUGCCACAGAGGGAACUCCUAUUCCUAAAAAUUUUAACAGUGAUUUCCUAAUAUCACCCAGCAAGUGUGUAUGUUUCUCCAUUCUGUAUUUCUCAUAUGUAAUUUGCAGUUGUAUCUAGUGGGUGGGUGAGACACAUUUGAUUUUUUACUAUUUCCCUUUCCACACUCAGAAUUCUUUGAUGCCACUUGCUAAGAGCAGCCCACAUACGAGGAGGAAGAGGGGAAGUCCAGAGAGUCAUUUUGAAGUCAAAUAAUUUUUUUUUUCCUGCUAAUCGCCUUGGGUUUGGUAAAGAGUAAAAGGCGGAAGAAAGGACUCAGAGCUGAAUAGAUAUUCUAGGAGAAUAUAAGGCAAAAAAAAAAAAAAAAAAAGAGCUCCUUGGCUGAGGAGCUGUGAUGACUAAUCUAUAAUUUUAGGUUGCUUAUUUCUGGGUUAUAAUUUGUAACUUUGAGUGAAAUUUAUUAAAUUCCUACUGCCUAGCGUCAACAUUAGUUGGCAAAGCAGAAUUGAGAAAAGUGAGCAGUGGUUUUCAGAGAGCAGCUGUAGAACGGCAGUCACCAGUGAAAGGCGACAAGUGGCAACAACCAAAACAUAGGAGCCCCUUGUGGGACUCCCAGGCAUUCAGGAGGGAUGUGAAUUUCCUCUCCUAAAACAAGAAGCUUGAUUUCUUUUCGUUAGAUCAUAAAGAAAAAGGUGACCCCAGAAGGCUGGAGUUCUGGGGUUACUCAUGAUGUAUAUGUUUUCAUAAAGCAAAAUGGCUAUAACAUGAUGAAUCAAUUAGGGAUUAUAGUGUGAAAUGAUCUUAUCACAGGGACCGCUGUUUGUUAUAAAGUGAUAGUAUAUGUUUGGAAUAUAACAUAGACCCUGAUAGGAAAGUAGCUGCUAAGUAACUCACAGGAUCUCUCUUUAUUUGAAUGGCUGUCCACUUAGGUUUUUUAAAUAAAAUGUAAUUUUUUAUUGCUCUUUGUUUACUUUUAGUGGUAGUGAAUUGCUACCAAAACUGCUAGUUCAAGACCAGUAGUAAUAAAGAAUUUUACAAAGUUCAUGAAUUUAUGUAUUUAAAGGCUUAGGAGUUUUGUUUUUUUCUCAGAUUUUAUACAAUUUUUUUUACUUUGUUUUUUGGGUCCCACAUUUACUGAAAUGAAUUAAAUUCCACCCAUUCCACUUACUGAAUUCUACCCCUCAGUUAAUUCACACUGGACAUUAUUACUGGUCCCUGCCAGCACCCGUUUAUUUUAUGUAGUAGCGUCCUCAUUUCUACUCCAUUUCUGCCCCCUCAUUGCUGUUCUAUUGCAUGUAUGUUCCUCCAUUCUGCCAUUUUUAUUCUCAUGUACAUCAUAUUGUAUAUAUGUGUGUUUUACUUGAUAUAAGUGGUAUUAUGAUCUAAUUCUCAUUUUAUAUCCCUUUUUAUGCCAUACUCUGUUUAUGACGCUAUGCAUAUCACUCAGUGGAUAUUUAGCUUACUAAAUCUCUCUUAAAAAUAUUUCCUUACAUGCACAUUCCUCACUUUACUUUUUGGUACCACCACCAGUACUUACCAUGAAUCUCUUGAUAUAUUUGUUCUUCUGGGCCUUGGCAAGAGUUUCUCUGCAGUCUAGAGCCAGAAGUAGGAUUUCUGGGUCAUUGGAUAUUCCUGCACUUAAUUUCUCUAAGCACUGGCAACAUUUUUUCCAUAAUGGCUGCAACAGUUUUGUGACCAGAAAUACAAAAUUACCAUUUCCUAGAUUUUGUCAGUAAUUGGAGUUACAUGAAUUUAUAAUUUUGCCAUUUUUAUGUGUAUAAAAUAGUACUUCCUUAUUUAAUUUGCAUUCCUCUGACUAUGACCGGAUUUGAGCAUGUCCUCACACGUGUUGCAGUUUGGUUUUCUUCUUUUGUAAGUUGCUUAUUCAUAGCCUUUGUCCAUUUUUCUGUGGGAUUUUUUUGUCUUCAUGAUUUUUAUUUCAAUUAUUUACACCCAAUGCGUUAUCCAUCUGCUGACAUUGUGUGUGGUGACUUUCUUUAAACAGGGACCUUUGAUUUUAUUUUUAUAACGUCUGUCACUUUUCCUCCUUAAGGUUUGUUCUUUGAGAAUAUUGUGUAAGAAAUCGUUUUCUCCGUCAAGAUCAUGAAGACAUUCUCCUAUAUAACCUUUACUUAGCUUUAUGUUUUAAUUUUGCUUUUUAUGUUUUGGUUUCUAAUACAUCUGGAGUCCACAUCUGGAGACUGUGUGAGUGUCAUUUUAGAUUACCCCUGGCAAUGUAUGGGAAUGCCCAUUCCUUGUUCUGUGGGAGAAGAUCAUUUGGCGGAGGUAAUGCAGCCCAGAUUGCAGAAUCAAGUUGCAGGUUGAAGAAUGUGAGUGCCAAUCCUCUCCAAUUCUGUAAGUCAGUGAAUAUCAUAUCUAUUCAGACAGCUUCCUGAUAUUAGAUCAUUCUGAAAUAUAACCUUCCUUACGAUACAAUAGUGACCUCACAUUCAGGCAUGUCAAGAAAAUAUGACCUUCUGACUUCUUAACAAAAUUUUAUCCCAAGUGACUUGGUAAAAACACUGUGCACACCUUAUUAAACAAUCCAAGGGAAAAUGUCUCUUCUAUCUGUAGUGGAAGAAUCACAUUGACAUUUGGCAAAGGUCAGAGCUUCAGAAAUAUAACUUAGUAAUAAACUGCUAGUAUUUUUAUAUUGUGGUGGUAAAAGAAAACUGCAGGAUUUUUUUUUUUUUUUUGACAUGUUUAAUUCUUACCAAGAACUUCCUAAGCACAUUGUUUGUCUACUGAAACUCAGCCUGUUCCACAUUUUUGACAGAAAAGCUAAGUCUUUUCCUUUUGAAAAAUAAGAGUUGGUUUUUUUUUUUUUUUUUUUUUUCCUCAAAGAUCUAUGUAUGCUAGAGGUCUAGGAAAUUUAUAAGCUUUGGCACAGGCUUCCUCACAUUCACAAAACUGACUUAAGAUGACCCUGAAAUAGAACAAAUCCAAAAGAGCUCUGGAAAUAGGGAAGAAAAUCAUCUAUAUGCCUCAAUACUAGAGACUAUUUACUAACUAUAAUAUAGGAGGAGCUAUGUUGAAAGAAAUCAUUAGAACUGGCCUAUAAUAUUGCUUUUUAAAUCAGUAGAAUCACAUGAAAUGACGAGGGAGAUUAUGGGAGAUUCCCCACUGAUAGUCCUUAUUUCGAGGGGUGAGAGCUAGAGGUGAGGGGAUGGCGUUGGGACAAAAGGUAAAACUUCCGUGAUGUGAAUCAACAGCGUCUAAAGCAGUUAAUACAAAGGGCCUCAGGAGAAAUAUGGCCACAUCAAGUAGCAGUAUGUGAGCAAUGGGGCUUCUUUCUGAUACGGCUGGGCUUUUCCAUGGCAUGGUAGCUGUGGCCUUAGGAAGAAGAAAGGCCACAGCCAAAGCCACAGUACAAUUAUUUAACAAAUACACAGCCUUUAGUGUAUUCCAGGCAUUGUUUUAUAUUAGUGGUUCUCAGUUGGGGUGAUUUUGCCCCCCCCCCCCGCCCCUUGGGACAUUUGGAAACCUCCCAGGAUAUUUUUGGUUGUCACAACUGGGAAGAAGCUGCUGCUAACAUCUGGUUUGUGGAGACUGAGGAUUCUACCAAACAUGCUAAAAUGCACAGGACCACCCUCACGGCAGAGAAUUAUCAGGCCUGAAAUGUAGAUAAUGCCAAGGUUGAGAAACUCUGUUUUAAGUAAUUUAACAAAUAUUAACUCAUUUAACCAUCACGGCCACCCUUGAGACAGAUAAGGGGCUUGCCCAAUGUAAUCUAUCUAAUGGGGAGGCCAGGCCAAAGGGAGACAAAUGUAAGCAUUACAGAGAGGAGCUAUUACAUUAAUACUAGCCUAAGUAAAAUUCAAGGUAAGAUUUUUAUAAGGAGGAUUUUUUUUUUUUUUCUUUAAGGAAUGGUAUAAUUCCCAGUGGAAAUAUUUUUGUUGUGAAACUUUGGACACUAAAUAAUAUAACUCUGAAAUAUAUAAAGCGAUUGUUGGACAUGUAGGAAGUAAUUGAAAUAUAAUAGUAGGUUUUUUUGUAAACAGCCUUAUUGAAGUAAAGUUGAUAUACAAUAAAUUGUACAAAUUUUAAUUUAAUAAUAUAUAUAUAAUUUCAUAAAUUUGAUAUAUGUCUAUACCUGUGAAAUCUUUACCUCGGUCAAUAUAAUGAACAUAUCAGAGUUCCCAUCAUGGCUCUGCAGUUAAUGAAUCUGACCAGCAUCCAUGAGGACACAGGUUAGAUCCCUGGCCUUGCUCGGUGGGUUAUGGAUCUGGCAUUGCCAAGAGCUGUGGUUUGGUCAGACGCAGCUCGGAUCCUGCGUUGCUAUGUCUGUGGUGUUGCUGCAAAAAAGGUAAUGAACAUGUCUAUCACUCCAAGCUUUCUCCUUCCUUUAUAGUGUAUAAUUCUUCCUUCCACUCCCUUGCUGGUCCUUCCUCCAAUCCUAAUCAACCUUUGAUCUGCCUUCUGUCACUGUAGAUUAGUUUGCAUCUUCUGCAGUUUUGUGUCAGUGAGCUCAUACCAUAUAUAUCUUUGUGGGGUAUUUUUUCUUUGGCUUGGGAUGUUAAUUUUGUGGCUCACCCAUGCUGUUGCAUGUAUCAGCAGUUCAUCCCUUUUUAUUGAUAGAUGGUGUUCCAUUGUAUGGCUAUGCUUCGAUGUGUUUAUCCCAUUCACCUUUUGAUGGACACUUGGUUGUUUGCAGUUUUGGGCUAUUACAAAUAAAGACACUAUAAACAUUCCUGAACAAGUCUUUGUAUGGACAGAUGCUUUUGUUUUUCUUGGGUGAAUACCUAGGAAUUUGGUUCAUGUGGUUAAGUGUAUAUUUAAUAGUUCAAGAAACUGCCAAACUGUUUUUCAAAGGUAUUGUCCCAUUUUCCAUUCCCACGAGCUGUGUCAGAGGGUACCAGUUGUUCCACAUCCUCUCCGGUAUUUGUUAUGGUGAGUCUUUAUCAUUUUGACAUUCUAGUAGAUGUAUGGUUAUCCUAAUAUGUUUGGGCUGCUAUGAUAAAAUACUAUAGACCUGGUAGCCUAUAAACAAAAGAAAUUUCUCACAAUUGUGGAGCCUGGAGAGUCUAAGAUCAAGUCUUCUGCAAGGUUGGGUUCCAGUGAGGACUUGUUACCGGGUUCAUAGAUGGCUGUAUUUCCACCGUAAUUUCAUGUGGUAUAAGAGGCAAGGCAGUUCUUUGGGAUCUCUUUUAAAAGAGCACUUUUCCCAUUCAUGGGGGCUCUACCGUCAUGACCUAAGCACCCCCCAAGGGCCCUACCUUCUAAUACCAUCACCUGGGGGUUAGGAUUUCAACACCUGGAUAUUGAGGGGACAUAAACAUUCGGACAUAACAAUAGUGGUAUCUCAUAUUCUCUUAUGUAAAUGACUAAUGGUGUUGAAUACCUUUUCCUGUGCUUAUUUAUCAUCUAUAUAUCUGCAAUUGAACUGUACUUUCAUUUAAAAAGAGAAAUCUUUGCUUAGAGAAAGGCAGAAAGGUCUUAUUCUGUGUUUUCCUCUAGAAGUUUUAGAGUUCUAGAUCUGUAAAUUUUAUGAUCUGUUUUAAGUUCAUUUUUAUAUAUAGUAUGAAAUCUCCUGUCCUCCUUCUAUUCUGUUGUGGUCAACGAAACCCUUUCAGUCAGGGUACCACAGCAGCUGCUGCUCACGUCCAGUUCCCACUGGUUGACUGGGAGCCUUCUUUUAUCUCCCCUAAACAACUUGACCUAGUUCAUGUCAGCCAGAAUAAACAGUUUAUGUGAUGAUCAGUUUAUUUGGCUAAAUCACUAGGGCAGGGUGACGUGAAAGAAAGUUGUAUACUUGCUAGGGACUGGAUGAUAUUAAAAGCAAAACCAAACACAUGAUCCUCCCCAAACUCUAGAAGUGCUAUACACUCUGUCCUAUCCUGCACUUCUUAAAUCGUGUUGGGCCAGAUAUGGAGGAAUUUGCUAACAGCAAAUCUCUAAGGGCAGGCCACUGUUUCAGAUGGAACAAGUAAGGAUUUUUUUUUUUUUUUUUUUUUUAGUUCUGUGGCAGAUGUAAUGGGUCCAUAGUGUCAUCCUGUCAUAAUUGACUCUCCUUGUUUAGGAAAUGAGGGGCAAGUGUUGUUGUUGUUGUUUUAAAUUUAUUUUCUAAUAAAUUUCCAGUCUUCAAAGAGAUUUUUUGGUUUCUUUCUUUUUUUUUUUUUUUUACAGCCACACC
This is a non-coding RNA of Sus scrofa (pig), 9581 nucleotides long. The record is from RefSeq and is a predicted model, not a curated record. NCBI's taxonomy places the organism in Eukaryota, Metazoa, Chordata, Mammalia, Artiodactyla, Suidae.